GAACUGAAGAGUUUGAUCAUGGCUCAGAUUGAACGCUGGCGGCAGGCCUAACACAUGCAAGUCGAGCGGAUGAAGGGAGCUUGCUCCUGGAUUCAGCGGCGGACGGGUGAGUAAUGCCUGGGAAUCUGCCUGGUAGUGGGGGAUAACGUCCGGAAACGGGCGCUAAUACCGCAUACGUCCUGAGGGAGAAAGUGGGGGAUCUUCGGACCUCACGCUAUCAGAUGAGCCUAGGUCGGAUUAGCUAGUUGGUGGGGUAAAGGCCUACCAAGGCGACGAUCCGUAACUGGUCUGAGAGGAUGAUCAGUCACACUGGAACUGAGACACGGUCCAGACUCC
Molecule: ribosomal RNA, 336 nt
Filed under: Pseudomonas aeruginosa
Lineage: Bacteria; Pseudomonadati; Pseudomonadota; Gammaproteobacteria; Pseudomonadales; Pseudomonadaceae
Description: bacterial SSU rRNA
Rfam family: Bacterial small subunit ribosomal RNA
Source: RNAcentral